This 484-nucleotide ribosomal RNA is filed under the name uncultured bacterium. RNAcentral's name for it is "partial 16S ribosomal RNA". It matches the Rfam family "Bacterial small subunit ribosomal RNA", at positions 29 to 507 of the family's 1533-position model. The record is from RNAcentral.
AUUGAACGCUGGCGGCAUGCUUUACACAUGCAAGUCGAACGGCAGCGCGGGCUUCGGCCUGGCGGCGAGUGGCGAACGGGUGAGUAAUGCAUCGGAACGUGCCCAGUAGUGGGGGAUAGCCCGGCGAAAGCCGGAUUAAUACCGCAUACGACCUGAGGGUGAAAGCGGGGGACCGAAAGGCCUCGCGCUAUUGGAGCGGCCGAUGUCGGAUUAGCUAGUUGGUGGGGUAAAGGCUUACCAAGGCGACGAUCCGUAGCUGGUCUGAGAGGACGACCAGCCACACUGGAACUGAGACACGGCCCAGACUCCUACGGGAGGCAGCAGUGGGGAAUUUUGGACAAUGGGGGCAACCCUGAUCCAGCCAUGCCGCGUGCGGGAAGAAGGCCUUCGGGUUGUAAACCGCUUUUGUUCGGGAAGAAAUCCUCUGGGCUAAUACCCCGGGGGGAUGACGGUACCGGAAGAAUAAGCACCGGCUAACUACGUG